Molecule: ribosomal RNA, 2254 nt
Filed under: human gut metagenome
Description: bacterial LSU rRNA
Rfam family: Bacterial large subunit ribosomal RNA
Source: RNAcentral
CGGGGGAACUGAAACAUCUAAGUACCCCGAGGAAAAGAAAUCAACCGAGAUUCCCCCAGUAGCGGCGAGCGAACGGGGAGCAGCCCAGAGUCUGAAUCAGCUUGUGUGUUAGUGGAACGGUCUGGAAAGUCCGACGGUACAGGGUGAUAGUCCCGUACACCAAAAUGCACAGGUUGUGAACUCGAAGAGUAGGGCGGGACACGUGGUAUCCUGUCUGAAUAUGGGGGGACCAUCCUCCAAGGCUAAAUACUCCUGACUGACCGAUAGUGAACCAGUACCGUGAGGGAAAGGCGAAAAGAACCCCGGCGAGGGGAGUGAAAAAGAACCUGAAACCGUGUACGUACAAGCAGUGGGAGCACCUUCGGGUGUGACUGCGUACCUUUUGUAUAAUGGGUCAGCGACUUAUAUUCUGUAGCAAGGUUAACCGUAUAGGGGAGCCGCAGGGAAACCGAGUCUUAACUGGGCGUUAAGUUGCAGGGUAUAGACCCGAAACCCGGUGAUCUAGCCAUGGGCAGGUUGAAGGUUGGGUAACACUAACUGGAGGACCGAACCGACUAAUGUUGAAAAAUUAGCGGAUGACUUGUGGCUGGGGGUGAAAGGCCAAUCAAACCGGGAGAUAGCUGGUUCUCCCCGAAAGCUAUUUAGGUAGCGCCUCGUGAAUUCAUCUUCGGGGGUAGAGCACUGUUUCGGCUAGGGGGUCAUCCCGACUUACCAACCCGAUGCAAACUACGAAUACCGAAGAAUGUUAUCACGGGAGACACACGGCGGGUGCUAACGUCCGUCGUGAAGAGGGAAACAACCCAGACCGCCAGCUAAGGUCCCAAAGUCAUGGUUAAGUGGGAAACGAUGUGGGAAGGCACAGACAGCCAGGAUGUUGGCUUAGAAGCAGCCAUCAUUUAAAGAAAGCGUAAUAGCUCACUGGUCGAGUCGGCCUGCGCGGAAGAUGUAACGGGGCUAAACCAUGCACCGAAGCUGCGGCAGCGACACGAUGUGUUGUUGGGUAGGGGAGCGUUCUGUAAGCCUGCGAAGGUGACCUGUGAGGGUUGCUGGAGGUAUCAGAAGUGCGAAUGCUGACAUAAGUAACGAUAAAGCGGGUGAAAAGCCCGCUCGCCGGAAGACCAAGGGUUCCUGUCCAACGUUAAUCGGGGCAGGGUGAGUCGACCCCUAAGGCGAGGCCGAAAGGCGUAGUCGAUGGGAAACAGGUUAAUAUUCCUGUACUUGGUGUUACUGCGAAGGGGGGACGGAGAAGGCUAUGUUAGCCGGGCGACGGUUGUCCCGGUUUAAGCAUGUAGGCUGGUUAUCCAGGCAAAUCCGGAUAAUCAAGGCUGAGGUGUGAUGACGAGGCACUACGGUGCUGAAGUAACAAAUGCCCUGCUUCCAGGAAAAGCCUCUAAGCAUCAGGUAACAUCAAAUCGUACCCCAAACCGACACAGGUGGUCAGGUAGAGAAUACCAAGGCGCUUGAGAGAACUCGGGUGAAGGAACUAGGCAAAAUGGUGCCGUAACUUCGGGAGAAGGCACGCUGGUGUGUAGGUGAAGUCCCUGCGGAUGGAGCUGAGACCAGUCGAAGAUACCAGCUGGCUGCAACUGUUUAUUAAAAACACAGCACUGUGCAAACACGAAAGUGGACGUAUACGGUGUGACGCCUGCCCGGUGCCGGAAGGUUAAUUGAUGGGGUUAUCCGUAAGGAGAAGCUCUUGAUCGAAGCCCCGGUAAACGGCGGCCGUAACUAUAACGGUCCUAAGGUAGCGAAAUUCCUUGUCGGGUAAGUUCCGACCUGCACGAAUGGCGUAAUGAUGGCCAGGCUGUCUCCACCCGAGACUCAGUGAAAUUGAACUCGCUGUGAAGAUGCAGUGUACCCGCGGCAAGACGGAAAGACCCCGUGAACCUUUACUAUAGCUUGACACUGAACAUUGAGCCUUGAUGUGUAGGAUAGGUGGGAGGCUUUGAAGCGUGGACGCCAGUCUGCGUGGAGCCAACCUUGAAAUACCACCCUUUAAUGUUUGAUGUUCUAACGUGGGCCCCUAAUCGGGGUUGCGGACAGUGUCUGGUGGGUAGUUUGACUGGGGCGGUCUCCUCCCAAAGCGUAACGGAGGAGCACGAAGGUUAGCUAAUCCUGGUCGGACAUCAGGAGGUUAGUGCAAUGGCAUAAGCUAGCUUGACUGCGAGCGUGACGGCGCGAGCAGGUGCGAAAGCAGGUCAUAGUGAUCCGGUGGUUCUGAAUGGAAGGGCCAUCGCUCAACGGAUAAAAGGUA